AAAUAUUGUAACUUAAAAUCAAAAUUAAAUUUGUUUCAAAUUUCAAACUCUUCGUUAAGCAUUGGAGUCAUUCAAAGAACGUAAGGCUCAUCAGGGUGUAUAUAAUAAAUUAGUUUUUAUGAUCACUAAAUAAAAAUAGAAUUGUUUUUAUAAUAGUUAACUAUGUUUGCAGAAUAAAUAAACUUGAUGUAUAUCUCCAUAAACUCCGUUUAUUUCCGCAAAGAGUAUUCGCUUUAGCUUAUUCAAUCAGGAGAUCGUGAACCGAAAUUAUGUCAACACACACACAAGCAUGGUAAACAAACAAACUUAGACCUCAUAUUCGUAAAAAAAAAAAAAAAGUAAGAAACGCUUGUAUUCAAAACCGGCAUCUGUUGAAUAAACGGCUCCUGAAAGUAUAUUCUGAGCAAAUGACAACGAAUAAUUUUGCUUUUUUUUAUUUUCACCGCAGGAAGUUUAAGCCAUUUAACUCUAGCUUGUACUAUAACUUCUCUUUGUCUCUUAGCACAAUGCUUGAAAAUAUUUUGUUCGAGUACUUGAAGUUUCAAUGCUUGAAUAGUCGGUGAAGUGAACUAAUUUCAAACCAAUGCACAGACAACCAAAAUUGUUUGACUGUAAUUGCAGAGCUAAAAUUUUAUGCUGCGUUACCAUAGCAAUCGCAGCGGUGGCGCCACCAAUUCUCUGAUUUCCCUCCAAUUUAACAGUCCUGGCGUGUUUGUUUACAUCAUUAAAAAGUUGUACUAGUUUUUUAUUUAUUAAAAAUAAUUACCUAGCUGUAUUACAACUGAUAUUAUAAUUUGGAUGGAUUCUUGGGUAUGAAAAAAGUUGUUCGAAUGGGAUUUACCAUCUCUGCAACAAAUCUUUGAAGCAAACGAACGUUGAUGAAAUUGAUGCUGAAGUCUAGGAAGUCUAUUCAUUUUUUUUAACCGAAAAAGAAAAAUUUUUACUCGAAUUAAUACAUAAUAGAUUUACUUCGAAUAUAGUUAAGAAGCUUAUCAAUAAAAUAAAGUUAAGAUGGUCUAUUGUAGACCGGAUAUUACUAAAGAUGGGCGAAUACAAUUGUUAAAUUAUAACAUAUGUGUUCCAAUCUCAGCCUGAUGGAAGAUCAAAGAAUAUAGAAAGAUUUUUAUGUCAGCCUGAUAGGUAAGAUCCGAAAUGUUGAGCUAUUGAUCAGUACAUUAGCAUGAGUAGCUAAAUCAGUAUAUUAAGGUUUCAAUCAAUGCUUAAUUGCUAUGACAAGACCACAUUCAAAUCAAGAGAAGAUCACAGGAUAUUGGAAAAUUUUUAUCAGUCUGAUGAUCAAAGCAUGAUA
Long non-coding RNA from Cotesia glomerata, 1309 nucleotides. RefSeq lists it as uncharacterized. The record is from RefSeq and is a predicted model, not a curated record. Lineage: Eukaryota; Metazoa; Arthropoda; Insecta; Hymenoptera; Braconidae. The transcript has 3 exons.